AGCUCCUUUAUUUAUCCGGGCUCCCGGGUGCGUCGCCGCAGGGAAACUGAGGCACGGCCGCCAUGGCACUGGGGACAACGGGGACCCGCAGCGGCAGCAGCCACCCCCCGAGGGUGGCACUGGGGACAAUGGGGACCCCCAGCUCGCCAUGGCCACCGCCCCCCGAGGGUGGCAUCGGCGACAACGGGGACCCCCAGCGCCCCGUGGCGCUGUCACUCGCUGUCCCCAGCCCGCCGGGUUCUUGUGGCACCUGCACGGCCCGGCCUGGCAGCUCCCUGAGCAGGACAGUGCCACUCGCCACUGUCCCCGCUGUCCUGUCCCUGCUGUUCCCACUGUCCUGUCCCCUGUCCCAUGUCUCGUGUCCCGCUGUCCCACCGUACUGUCCCAUGUCCCCUCUGUCCCUGCUAUCCCCACUGUCCUGUCCCUGCUGUCCCCUCUGUCCCACUGUCCUGUCCCCUGUGUCCUGCUGUCCCCGCUGUCCUGUCCUCAUUGUCCUGUCCCCUCUGUCCCCUGUUCUGUCCCCCUGUCCGGUCCCGUGUCCCGUCCCUGUCCCGUCCCUGCACUGUCCGUGCCCCGUCCGUGUCCGGUCCCGUCCCUGUCCGGUCCUUGUCCUGUCCCUGUUCCGUCCCUAUUUGGCCCCCUGUCCGGUCUCUGUCCUGUCCCGUGUCCCGUCUCUGUCCCGUCCGUGUCCCGUGUCCGGUCCCCUGUCCCGUGUCUGGUCCCUGGUCCUGCUAUCCGGUCCCAUAUCCGGUCUCUGUCCCGUGUCCGGUCCCUGUCCGGUCCCGGUCCCGUCUCCGUCCCGUCCGUGUCCCGUGUCCGGUCCCGUGUCCGGUCCCUGUCCCUGCUGUCCGGUCCCGUGUCCGCUCCCGUGUCCGGUCCCGGUCCCGUGUCCGCUCCCGUGUCCGGUCCCGGUCCCGUGUGCGGUCCCGUGUCCGGUCCCGUGCGGCUCAGCCCACGGUGACGCUGAAGCCGCAGUGGAACCGGUUCCUGCGGUGGUUCAGGAAGGCGCCCAGGGCCAGCGUCACGGGCAGGGGGGGCAGCUUCUUCUCCAGGACCCCUCCCACGCUCCAGCUGCUGUCCAGGAGCCCUGCGGGGACAGCGGGGACCCCUGAGCCGCCGCCGCCGGGCGCGGGGGACAGAGGCCACCGGGGCGGGGCCGGCCCACCUCGGAACACGGCGUUGGCCCGCGGCAGGUUGAGCCGGUAGCCGAAGGCGAACGCGGUCUCCUGCAGGCGCGUGUUGGCCUCCAGCUCCACCCCCGCCUGCACCUGCGGGGACGCAGCGGUCACGGCGGCGCGGGGACAGCGAGGGGACAGAGAGGGGACAACGGGGACAGCGGGGGGAGAGCGUGGGGACAGUGUGGGGAGAGCGGGGACAGAGAGGGGACAACGGGGGGAGAGCGUGGGGACAGUGUGGGGACAGCGGGGACAGAGAGGGGAGAGCGUGGGGACAGUGAGGACAGCG
RNAcentral lists this long non-coding RNA (1464 nucleotides) under Chloebia gouldiae (Gouldian finch). RNAcentral's name for it is "Erythrura gouldiae (Gouldian finch) lncRNA (ENSEGOG00005009089.1)". The record is from RNAcentral. Lineage: Eukaryota; Metazoa; Chordata; Aves; Passeriformes; Passeridae.